This is a non-coding RNA of Microcebus murinus (gray mouse lemur), 2310 nucleotides long. The record is from RefSeq and is a predicted model, not a curated record. Lineage: Eukaryota; Metazoa; Chordata; Mammalia; Primates; Cheirogaleidae.
GGGGUGGGGCACGGACAGGGCAAAGAUCAGAAGUCGAGAAGAGAGCUGUAACACUGGCUGUGCUGAGCCUGCUGGCUGAAUAAAGGCAGUUCUCCGACUCUUCGCGUGCCACUUGGUUCUUUCCCUGUCAGGUGCUGUAGCACUAGCUGUUCACAUUGCCAUAACACAAUCAAACGCUAAAGAUGCGCCAUGUCAGGACGCCGGACGUGCCAGGAGGAGGAAUAAAGCAGAGUCGCCAAGGGAGCCUCUGGCUGCUGUGUGGAUAAUGAAUCCUAGAAGCUGGGCCGGCAGGGAGCCCGCAGAACCCAUGCAGAGAGACAGGAUCUCACUCUUGCUCUGGCUAGUCCGUAUGCAUUAGCCCUGAGGGCCUGCAUAUGGAGCCAGCCAGCAUCAGCUCCCAGACAUGAGAAAGAGCCAGCCCUCAUGUGAUUCUGUCCCCAGCCUUCAGGCUACGAAGAAGGAGCCCAGAAGUCCCCAUCCAGGACUACUGUGGCUCCCCCGUGACGACAGGCACUCGGGCUUCUUUCACCUUCUAGAAUUGCUGUCCUCAGUAUGUGGCUUCCACCUCAUCAUCCAAGGUGGCUACUCAAACUGCUGCCAUCACAUCAGCAUUCCCACUGGAUGAAAAAAAGAAGAAUAUGUCCUUUUCUUUGAAGAUGCUUGCUGGAAGUUGUUUCUUUCUGGAACUGGCAUCACCAUUUCUGCCUACACCUCAUUGGCCAGAACUCAGUGCCAUGGGAGUCUGGGAAAUGUAGUUUUUUUAUCUUGGGCAAUCAUGUGUCUGCCUGGAAUUACAGGGUUCUUUUGCUAAAGGGUCAAACAGAUAUUGGGGGACAAAUAGGAGUCUCAGGCACAGUUUCCCGUUGCUGUUUGGAUAAAGUAGGAACUUACUGUUACGCUCAGCAAGGUCCUCACUGAUCUAGUCACUGCUUGGUCUCUGGUCUCGUCUCUCAUUUCUUUUUCUUUUUUUAGCAUGAAAAUGAGGUUUAUUGAGGAAGAGCAAGAUAGGUUUAUGGAGCAAGAUCAAGAUACAUUCGCCACAGACAAUGAAUGGGUCCCAUGUCAUAACAAGAGGCCUCAUCUCUGGUUUCUUAUUCAUACUGUUUUAUCUCUGUUUUCCUACUUUAAUUUUCUCUAAUGGGUGCAGCUCCAACCCACCUCAGUGCCUUUGCUGGGAUUUAAGAAUCCUAGAUUAGGCCCUCUGUCCCCACGAUAUAUUAUUUCUAAUAACUUCCCAUACCUCCUCUUUGUAGCACCUACACAAUUACAUUUAUAAAUGAUUUAUGUUAUGAUUGCUUUAUAACUCUCUUUCCCACUAACCUAUAGGUUGUCUGAGUGCAAAGACUUUGUUCAUUCAUGUCUGUAUUCCCAGUAUCAAACAUGGCAUUUGGCACAAAUUAGGUAUUUAAAAAGUCUUUGCUGGAUAAUUGAAUGAACUUUCUAAAGGAACUCUCUCACUUUACAAAUGAGGUAAUAAUUUAAUCGAGUCCUCAAAGAAUCUGUAUUCUAUAAUAGUUUCUUGAGUGAGUUGGUUAAAAUGAAGGUUUCAACUCCUGUUGAGAAUCUUUCUGAAACGUUCUGGUCUAAUUUCCUGUCUCUUAGCAAAGACAAUGGAUCACAUACUGUUUACUCCUCCUCUGAUGGUCAGGAUCCUACGUGCCUGAGGGUCAACAUGAUAACUACUGAUCAGCACUGACCAAAACCACAGCUGCAGAACAGGAAAGAAAUCAUGAGGAGUCUGUGUGAUUCUGGGAUACAGCCUGGAAAGUUCCUUUAAACAAAUGUGCUCAACAUUAACUGGUUUUCUUUUCAAUUGCCUCUUUCUCCCAAAAGUAGUGUGCCCAAAAAUUUGGAUGAUCGUGUUUCCCAGUUGACAGAGAAUUAAUUUUAUUUGGGAAUUGUCACCCUUGUUUUGAAAGAAAAAAAUAACUUUUUAAAAAGUGUCAGUCACACAUUGGAGCUAUGAAUGACAGUCAUGUCUGUGUUCAACAAUUCCUUUUUUGAAAACAGUGGAGGGAAAACAGCAUUAUUUCUUGUUGUCCUGAUUUUUAAAUAUCAUCUGCUAGAAUCACUAUGAAGGAGGGAGGCCAGGAAGAAGGAAGAUGAUCUUUGGAAUACCCUGAAUUCCAGUGAUGGCCCAGAAGUUUGCAGAAUGUCAUGAUUUAGGGAUGUAAGUUGUUUUGAAAACUGUGAGUCUCAGUUUUCCAGGGCUAUGGGACUUUGAUGGAUUGAAGAAACAGAAUCUUUACAUUUGUCACAGGCUUCUUACACUAGAGUACUUUUUUGGCAUUUGUCCGACAUUUUAAUUUA